Long non-coding RNA from Salvia splendens (bonfire salvia), 519 nucleotides. RefSeq lists it as uncharacterized. The transcript is spliced from 2 exons. NCBI's taxonomy places the organism in Eukaryota, Viridiplantae, Streptophyta, Magnoliopsida, Lamiales, Lamiaceae. The record is from RefSeq and is a predicted model, not a curated record.
UUCCGAAUGCGACCUUCUUUAUUACGAUCAAAGCAGCAGCACCAACCCCAGUUCUAUCACUCUUUAUAUGCAUCCCUCCCUUGGUCAAAUCCCAAACUUAAUCUGCCUCCAUAUCCACAGCGUUCUCUCCCAACAAAGACUCAACAAAAACAAAAGAAAUGCUAUCAGUCUCGAGCAGUUGUGGCCUUCCAAUCUGUCUAACUGGGAUUCCUCGUCCUCUUCCUUUCUCCCAAGAGUUGGAGGAUCAUGAAAGGAGGAGGGAGAGCGUGAAAAGGAAGAAAUUUCAAGAGUUUUUGCAGUUACAUGAGAUGAUUACUAGAGAGGCUUCGGGCCAUGGAAGCAACAACCGUGGAGGAGGUGUUGUUAAAACUGAGUUUUAUCCCUGCAUUUCCCUACCCAGUACUGCAAAAGCUGCAUAAGUUAGUUACUAUGUUCUAGGCUUCAGUUUUUCUUCUAUUGUUGCUUUUCAAUAUGAAUCUUAUGAGAUGGGAAAUUCUACAUUUGAAUUUGGUUGCUCUA